Molecule: transfer RNA, 87 nt
Filed under: Streptococcus lactarius
Lineage: Bacteria; Bacillati; Bacillota; Bacilli; Lactobacillales; Streptococcaceae
Also listed under: 1 other name
Description: tRNA-Ser
Rfam family: tRNA
About the family: Transfer RNA (tRNA) molecules are approximately 80 nucleotides in length. Their secondary structure includes four short double-helical elements and three loops (D, anti-codon, and T loops).
Source: RNAcentral
GGAGAAUUACUCAAGAGGCUGAAGAGGACGGUUUGCUAAAUCGUUAGGUCGGGUAACUGGCGCGGGGUUCGAAUCCCCCAUUCUCCG